This 561-nucleotide ribosomal RNA is filed under the name Rhizobium sp. RNAcentral's name for it is "bacterial SSU rRNA". It matches the Rfam family "Bacterial small subunit ribosomal RNA", at positions 55 to 666 of the family's 1533-position model. Lineage: Bacteria; Pseudomonadati; Pseudomonadota; Alphaproteobacteria; Hyphomicrobiales; Rhizobiaceae. The record is from RNAcentral.
AUGCAGUCGAACGCCCCGCAGGGGAGUGGCAGACGGGUGAGUAACGCGUGGGAAUCUACCGUGCCCUGCGGAAUAGCUCCGGGAAACUGGAAUUAAUACCGCAUACGCCCUACGGGGGAAAGAUUUAUCGGGGUAUGAUGAGCCCGCGUUGGAUUAGCUAGUUGGUGGGGUAAAGGCCUACCAAGGCGACGAUCCAUAGCUGGUCUGAGAGGAUGAUCAGCCACAUUGGGACUGAGACACGGCCCAAACUCCUACGGGAGGCAGCAGUGGGGAAUAUUGGACAAUGGGCGCAAGCCUGAUCCAGCCAUGCCGCGUGAGUGAUGAAGGCCUUAGGGUUGUAAAGCUCUUUCACCGGUGAAGAUAAUGACGGUAACCGGAGAAGAAGCCCCGGCUAACUUCGUGCCAGCAGCCGCGGUAAUACGAAGGGGGCUAGCGUUGUUCGGAAUUACUGGGCGUAAAGCGCACGUAGGCGGAUAUUUAAGUCAGGGGUGAAAUCCCAGAGCUCAACUCUGGAACUGCCUUUGAUACUGGGUAUCUUGAGUAUGGAAGAGGUAAGUGGAA